GUUACUGGGUAGGAUUAGUAACCAGAUUAAAUCGGGUACAUUUUUUUUAUCCAGCCGUGCAAAUACUGCCCCCUAGCCCUAACAGGUUAAUAUUAGAUUUCGUGCACCAGCUGUUGUUUACAGCCCGCCACCCCUUGUCUUACCGGAGGCAGCUGUUCUAUCUUGCCGAUGCAGCGUGAACCCCGCCAGCUGUAUUUUAUCAAUGUCAUCGUUCAGCUACGACUCAGUGAAACAUAAGCUAUUACAGUUUUAAUGUCCCUUUGGAAGGAUAUUCAUGAUCGUAGCUUGUCUAUUUUGUUAUCCAAUGAUUGGCUAAUAGGACUGGUGGUAGAGGCAGAUUACCCACUUGCAGUCGGAUCCUUACAAGACACCCCGACCUACGUCCCCGAUAUUGCCGUCUCUUUCUCCUGCGAAUGAUAGGGAUGUGGGCCUUGUCGGUUGUCUGAAGUAAAUCCUUUGUGUCCGACUCGCUAAAGAAAAAAUCUUGUCCAGUAUGAGGUGAGUAAUCGCUGUCCUGAUAUCCAGAAGCUCGUUUAGGUCAUAAGACACGGUGGUAGAAACAUUAUGUUCAAAAUAAGUUUGAAAUAACGCAAAAAAACACAAACUGUUACAUCUGCUCCUGCCACGCCCUUUACUUCUCAUCCUGGACCUCCCUAACCUGCCACCACUCCCCCAGUGCUCUCUCUCUCUCUCUCUCUCUGUAUGUGAUUGUGUGAGUGGAGACAGGUGUGCUGGAAGCAGAGCAGAUUCCCACCAGCUCCAGCCUGUUCCAUAAUCAAGAACCCUACAAAUACUCAGCCCUGCCACUUCCACGCUGCCAGAUCGUAGCCUCUACUCAUCCCAUCUGCUCUGACUCUGGUACCUGUCUCCAGUCCCUCGUCUCCUCAGUCCUGCUUCCCUGACCUGGAUACCAGCUCUACUGCUUCAUUGGAUUCCGCUCCAGACCUGCUUAUCCGGUUCCCAAUCCCCUUGCCCCCAGCCUCAGCCUCAUUCAGGAUUCCCUACUACCCACAGGAGAUUCCCCUGGACUGCACCCCAUCUCCUCUCCCGCUUUUAAAUUAAUACAUUGGUUACCUAUCCUUGUCUCCCCGUCUGAGUCUGCAUUUGGGUUCACCUGCUCCAAACAAUAGCACAAUUGUUUAAGAGCCCGUAAAACGGCAGCCAUCUCCUCCAGCGCAUGUCUGUCUUCAUGGAGCAUGUCUGUCUUCAUUGUUCUGUUGCGCAAUUUUGCACCUGGCCUUUCCACAAGGUGUGUAAAUCUUUCAGGAAAAGCCUGACUACAAAAGCUUGUUGGACACUUAUUUCAACAUAGCCUGCUAAUAGCCUAUUGGAGGAGAGAUGAAUGCUUGUUCUUGCUUGCUGAAUGUAAAAUAGGAUACAGCAUGAACGGGCGGGGAGUUGGAAAGGAGAAGCCCAUUAUUUUCCUAUAGUAGGUCUAUUUUAACAGCAAGCUACAUCCUGACAAAAUAGGCAUACACCAUAUGAGUGGCCUGCUUUCUCAGCUGUGGAGAGUAGACUCAAACUGAUCCAAAUAGUUGUAUAAUCAGGCCUAGGCAGUUGGCCUAUGCAGUUAUUUCGGCAUGAAACAAAACAGGAGGUGUGGGCGGUUAUUCAAAUUAGAUUACAUCAGUGCAGUUUACUGCACUUGAUAACAAUAAUACAUUCCUCUUUGCAUUGUGUUGUUGUAGCCCAGGUAUAAUAAUUGUAUUGUCUAAAAAUAUAGGCCUAGGCCUAAUCAAUAGUGGAGCUUUGCAUGCCCGGGGACCACAGAGCGCAGCUUGGAGGAACGCACCUUGAUCUGCCAUUUCAUAAUCUGUUCAUUUAUUUUUCUUGCACUUUGACAGGUAAAUAUUUAGCAUAUAGCCCUAAUAUUUUGCUAAUGAAUGGCCUAAUAUCUAGCUAAUAUUUAGCUUCUUACUUUGGCUAUACAUAGUGUAAUGGCCUUGGUUAUAGCUAAAUAUAAGAUACUUUUAUUCGUAGGUUAUUUUCAAUGUGUUGCCACGUUUAAUAACCUAUAUGCUAAGUAACAAACUACAUGAGACUCUAUGAUAAAUAGCCAUGUUCACAUCCCCCCUUCUUUAAUAAAACAUUCCCCAAAUGUUUAUCAAUGGUAUGUUUACAUUCAAACCCCAUUUACUGUUAUUACAUAAUGAAGCUAUCAAGAUGACAAUUUACAAUCACAAAUUAACCUUUACUGUGAGCACAACCCAUUAAGUAACUUCUGAUCUUCUCAAAACCAUACCUGUAACUAUAAUGUUAAACACCACAGUUUAAUCUUAAACUUAACUGUUCCGUGUUUGGCUAACCAACAAGUAAGCCCAUAAACAUAAUUAACAACCUUCAAUGUCUCUUUUAACCAUCUCCUUUCUUUUUUUCAUAUUUUCUUUUUUAAGGAGAGGUGCUCUUUCUUUUCAAAGUUUUACAGGUCCAGUCUCUCAACUGGCUUUCUCACUCGUCCUGAACGUGUGACAUUAGUCCCUAUUCCUGUUUGUGUAACAGUUACAUUUAUAUUCAAGUUCCUCGGCGUACACAUCACUGACAAACUGAAAUGGUCCACCCACACAGACAGAGUGGUGAAGAAGGCGCAACAGCACUUCUUCAACCUCAGAGGCCGAAGAAAUUUGGCUUGCCACCUAAAGCUCUCGCAAACUUUUACAGAUGCACAAUUGAGAGCAUCCUGUCGGGCUGUUUCACCACCUGGUACGGCAACUGCACCGCCCGCAACCGCAGGGCUCUCCAGAGGGCGGUGCCGGUCUGCCCAACUCAUCACCGGGGGCAAACUAUCUGCCCUCUAGGACACCUACAGCACCCUGUCACAGGAAGGCCAAAAGGAUCGUCAAGGACUACAACCACCCAAGCCCCUGGCCUGUUCACCACGCUAUCAUCCAGAAGCACACUCUGCCAACCCGGAUGUCCUAGCCGUGUCUGAAUCCUGGUUUAGGAAGGCCACCAAAAACCCUGACAUUUCCAUCCCUAACUAUAACAUUUUCCGACAAGAUAGAACUGCCAAAGGGGGCGGAGUUGCAAUCUACUGCAGAGAUAGCCUGCAGAGUUCUGUCUUACUAUCAAGGUCUGUGCCCAAACAAUUUGAGCUUCUACUUUUAAAAAUCCACCUUUCCAGAAACAAGACUCUCACCGCUGCCGCUUGCUAUAGACCACCUUCUGCCCCCAGCUGUGCCCUGGACACCAUUUGUGAAUUGAUUGCCCCCCAUCUAUCUUCAGAGCUUGUGCUGUUAGGUGACCUAAACUGGGACAUGCUUAAUAACC
This 3267-nucleotide long non-coding RNA is filed under the name Salmo salar (Atlantic salmon). RNAcentral describes it as "lncRNA (ENSSSAG00000089898.1)". The record is from RNAcentral. Lineage: Eukaryota; Metazoa; Chordata; Actinopteri; Salmoniformes; Salmonidae.